GGGAUUCCCCUAGUAACGGCGAGUGAAGCGGGAACAGCUCAAAUUUGAAAUCUGGCCUUCGGGUCCGAAUUGUAAUUUGCAGAGGAUGCUUUUGGUUAGGUACUUUCCGAGUUCCCUGGAACGGGACGCCUUAGAGGGUGAGAGCCCCGUACGGUUGGAUACCGAGCCUUUGUAAAGCUCCUUCGACGAGUCGAGUAGUUUGGGAAUGCUGCUCUAAAUGGGAGGUAAAUUUCUUCUAAAGCUAAAUACCGGCCAGAGACCGAUAGCGCACAAGUAGAGUGAUCGAAAGAUGAAAAGCACUUUGAAAAGAGGGUUAAAUAGCACGUGAAAUUGUUGAAAGGGAAGCGUUUAUGACCAGACUUUUUCCAGGCGGAUCAUCCGGUGUUCUCACCGGUGCACUUCGUCUGGUUGAGGCCAGCAUCGGUUUUCGUAGAGGGAUAAAAGCUUUAGGAAUGUGGUUCCUUCGGGAAUGUUAUAGCCUAUUGUAUAAUACCUUUAUGGGGACCGAGGUUCGCGCAUCUGCAAGGAUGCUGGCGUAAUGGUCAUCAACGACCC
Molecule: ribosomal RNA, 555 nt
Filed under: uncultured fungus
Lineage: Eukaryota; Fungi
Description: eukaryotic LSU rRNA
Rfam family: Eukaryotic large subunit ribosomal RNA
Source: RNAcentral